GACGAACCGAGCGAACGUUUGUUCGGAAUCACUGGGCUUAAAGGGCGCGUAGGCGGGUGCUCAAGUCCGUGGUGAAAUCCUCCGGCUCAACCCGGAGAACUGCCUCGAAUACUGGCGGUCUCGAGGGAGGUAGGGGCGUGCGGAACUGUGGGUGGAGCGGUGAAAUGCGUUGAUAUCCACAGGAACUCCGGUGGCGAAGGCGGCACGCUGGACCUUUUCUGACGCUGAGGCGCGAAAGCCAGGGGAGCGAACGGG
This 255-nucleotide ribosomal RNA is filed under the name uncultured bacterium. Its description in RNAcentral is "partial 16S ribosomal RNA". It matches the Rfam family "Bacterial small subunit ribosomal RNA", at positions 524 to 776 of the family's 1533-position model. The record is from RNAcentral.